UACGUAGGGGGCAAGCGUUGUCCGGAUUUAUUGGGCGUAAAGAGCGUGUAGGCGGCUUGGUAGGUCUGCUGUGAAAACUCGAGGCUCAACCUCGAGCUGUCGGCGGAAACCACUUGGCUAGAGUCCGGAAGAGGAGAGUGGAAUUCCUGGUGUAGCGGUGAAAUGCGCAGAUAUCAGGAAGAACACCGAUGGCGAAGGCAGCUUCUUGGUCCAUAUCUGACGUUGAGGCGCGAAAGCGUGGGGAGCAAACAGG
RNAcentral lists this ribosomal RNA (253 nucleotides) under uncultured bacterium. RNAcentral describes it as "partial 16S ribosomal RNA". It matches the Rfam family "Bacterial small subunit ribosomal RNA", at positions 524 to 776 of the family's 1533-position model. The record is from RNAcentral.